Long non-coding RNA from Gallus gallus (chicken), 2340 nucleotides. NCBI's taxonomy places the organism in Eukaryota, Metazoa, Chordata, Aves, Galliformes, Phasianidae. The record is from Ensembl.
CGGUGGGCUCCGCAACGGGGAGGUGUAGAGGUGCUGGGAGAAGAGUGGAGCGCUGAGGCGUUUCGUUGGGUCAGCUCGGGAGCCGACUGACCUGCAGGAAGGACGCGGCCCUGAUUUGGUGCCCUAGCGCAGCCUGUCAGCCCCUUCUCGCCAUCAGGAGAGCCCCAGCCCGGCUGCUCGGUCAGCUUUCUGUCUCUUUCUGCUGUGACCUUCACCGCUUCUCCUCAGGACUCCCCAUCUCUGCAGGAACGCCGCGGCUGCCUGCCCUCUCUCUGAAUGCUUUAGCUGAGCUCCACUUCUGGGCCAGCCCCAAACUCCCCUCUCUGCCCUCUGCCGCACUGGAGGAGUUACCUGCGUACAUUGCUAAUACAGCGGUCUUAAGCCUUGUGCCUUUUUCCUUCUCUGGUUAAUGAGUCAUACUUUGGAGUGAGUGCGCUGCCCAGAAGCGGGCUUUGCCCCAUGCCCACAGAUGCACAGUGGUGAUCCCAUGAAGUGGAGACAGGUCCCAGUUACUCAGCCGGCAUUUAACAUGCACUUGUUGCAAAAUGAAUGACAUGUACCAUCGUUUUCCCAUGGAGUUGCUGCAUACGGUCUGUUACAGGCUUGCACGUGUACGUAGCCUUACUCCUGUGCAUAGCUCUAAGCCAGCCGGACUGCUCCCAGUGCACAAAACUAAGCAUGGAUACAGGUCUUUCCAUGGUGAGAUGCUUAAUGCAAGGCGAUUGCAGCAAGCGGGGAGGGGAAGUGGAAAACAAGGGUGACAGCAAUAAAAUUACACUGGAAUUUUGAGCAGGAUGACAAAGAGAUACUGAGGAAAAGAAGGGACUGCCCAGACCCUUCUACAAGGAGGAAAUACCUCAUGCACAGUGCAUUUUGUCAAGUAUACAAGGUUUAUGAAAACAAACAAACCAGUCUUUCCAAUUCGCUUUCGGGAGAACAUCUGAGAUUGAAACAUUCCGUCUAGAUAGUGGGGUAUUUAAUUCUGCUGCUGGCAGAAAUGUACAAAGUGCUCUAUCGGAAUACAAAAAUCCAAACAAAGCAUCCGGUGUGUCCUAAAGAGAUGGAAGCGCACACAGCACACUGUCAAAUGUGGAAUGGCAAAAAUCGUAGCAGCGCAAACAGAGGAGAGCAGACAGGGCUGAGAAAGAAAAGUGCUUCUUCCCUUAGUGAUGGGGAAUGGAGAAUGGAGAUGACGUGGAUGACCUUCUUCUAUUUUGGUAUAUUCUUCUCAUUGUCCGUGCUAGCGUGGACCACGGGUCUCAGCAUAGCGUCAGUACUUACAUGUGCAGCAGUGGUAUCUCGUAGGAAAUGAGGAUAUUGCCUCUGGAUGGAACAUCAAAUGUUUAUGUUCAAGUCUUUUAACUCGUUUGGAAGAGCAUCAAAUAUGGUGGAUAAAUGUUUCCGUCCCUCUGAUCCCACACCUAUCUCUCUCUCAGAAAUCUUCCUGUGACUGUUCGGCCUUCUUAAGCAGAAAAUCUCCAAAGCCAAACUCUUUUUCUUCUGUAGAUAAUUUUGUAUUUCCUACAGCCUCUGCCGUCAUCUGGUCUCCAGUCCAGCAUUUCUAGGGAAAAAAAAGAGAUAUCCUCAGCCUUUUCUGCCACACACAUUUGUGUCUCUGAACUUUCUCUCAUCUCGUUCUGAAGAACACUCUUUGUUUGGGAAUUCGCUUCUUUCCUACAUCUACCAGCUCAACUCUCUCACCAGAAAUGUAUUUUUUGGAGAGUUUAUCUUCAGCAUCCUUCAUCCUACAAAUCCAUCUUGCAGUAUUGCCCCAUAAACCGCCACAUUUGUAUGAAGAGUGGCAGAAAACUGAUGCUGGAGCAGGAGCAAGUGGCAUGGGGCAGGCAGAGAACUGCUUGGGUCAAUUUUGGUAUUGCAGAAAAUCUAGUGUAAAAAUGCACUGUGACUUGCACCUGAAGAGGAAAGGACAAAAUCCCUUGGCCAACUGAAACAUCUGCGUUAUCCAUUGGGAGCAAGAUGUGUCUUUAGACCAGGCAUGAAAAAAUGUGCGACAAUGAAUAUCAACACGUAACUGAUAAAUAUAUCCUUAUAUAUCAUUAUAACCAAGAUACAAAUUGCACAAGGACAGGAAUUGGUGUUGAAUUCUGUCAGGUUUCUGUUUACUCUGUGAGAAAUCAUUUACCACACACUGAUUAUCAUCAAUUGUAUUGAGUGGAGUAGGUUAAAAAAAAAACAUACCGCAGGAGAAAUCCCAGUUAGGAUUUUUGUCAAGAAGUGUAAUUAACCUGAAGGUAGAAUGAAAGGAUAUUUAAACUCAGGAUCUCUAUGAUAAGAAACACGUUAUAAAUGCUUAGGAGAAUGGAUUAGUAUCAAACAGAG